RNAcentral lists this ribosomal RNA (253 nucleotides) under uncultured bacterium. RNAcentral describes it as "partial 16S ribosomal RNA". It matches the Rfam family "Bacterial small subunit ribosomal RNA", at positions 524 to 776 of the family's 1533-position model. The record is from RNAcentral.
UACGUAGGUGGCAAGCGUUGUCCGGAAUUACUGGGUGUAAAGCGCGUGUAGGCGGCAGACCAAGUCGGCGGUGAAAGCGCCCGGCUCAACUGGGCGAGGUCCGUGGAAACUGGUCAGCUGGAGGACGGUAGAGGCGAGUGGAAUUCCCGGUGUAGCGGUGAAAUGCGUAGAGAUCGGGAGGAACACCCGUGGCGAAGGCGGCCAUCUGGACCAGCACUGACGCUGAGGCACGAAAGCGUGGGGAGCGAACAGG